RNAcentral lists this ribosomal RNA (448 nucleotides) under Centipeda flueggei. RNAcentral's name for it is "bacterial SSU rRNA". It matches the Rfam family "Bacterial small subunit ribosomal RNA", at positions 28 to 457 of the family's 1533-position model. Lineage: Bacteria; Bacillati; Bacillota; Negativicutes; Selenomonadales; Selenomonadaceae. The record is from RNAcentral.
GACGAACGCUGGCGGCGUGCUUAACACAUGCAAGUCGAACGGAGCGAAUGAAAGCUUGCUUUUAUGAGCUUAGUGGCAAACGGGUGAGUAACACGUAGACAACCUGCCGACAGGAUGGGGACAACAUUCCGAAAGGAAUGCUAAUACCGAAUGAAGCGGAGGAGAGGCAUCUCUCUUCCGUGAAAGAUGGCCUCUUUUUAUGCUAUCACCUGUUGAUGGGUCUGCGUCUGAUUAGCUGGUAGGUGAGGUAACGGCUCACCUAGGCGACGAUCAGUAGCCGGUCUGAGAGGAUGAACGGCCACAUUGGGACUGAGACACGGCCCAGACUCCUACGGGAGGCAGCAGUGGGGAAUCUUCCGCAAUGGGCGCAAGCCUGACGGAGCAACGCCGCGUGAGUGAAGAAGGUCUUCGGAUCGUAAAGCUCUGUUGACGGGGACGAACGUGCGAG